This 484-nucleotide ribosomal RNA is filed under the name uncultured bacterium. RNAcentral's name for it is "partial 16S ribosomal RNA". It matches the Rfam family "Bacterial small subunit ribosomal RNA", at positions 30 to 507 of the family's 1533-position model. The record is from RNAcentral.
AUUGAACGCUGGCGGCAGGCCUAACACAUGCAAGUCGAGCGGAUGAAGGGAGCUUGCUCCUGGAUUCAGCGGCGGACGGGUGAGUAAUUCCUAGGAAUCUGCCUGGUUGUGGGUUAGAAGGUCCGGAAGCGGGCGCUAAUACCGCAUACGUGCUUACGAAGUAAGUGUGUGAUCUUCGGACCUUAGGAUCUCAGAUGAGUCUAGGUCGGAUUAGCUAGUUGGUUGGGUAAAGGCCUACCAAGGCGACGAUCCGUAACUGGUCUGAGAGGAUGAUCAGUCACACUGGAACUGAGACACGGUCCAGACUCCUACGGGAGGCAGCAGUGGGGAAUAUUGGACAAUGGGCGCAAGCCUGAUCCAGCCAUGCCGCGUGUGUGAAGAAGGUCUUCGGAUUGUAAAGCCCUUUUGGUGGGGAGGAAGGGCAGUAAGUUAAUACCUUGCUGUUUUGACGUUACCCACAGAAUAAGCGCCGGCUAACUUCGUG